GAUUAUGGCUCAGGAUGAACGCUAGCGGCAGGCCUAACACAUGCAAGUCGAGCGGUAGAGGACCUUCGGGUCCUUGAGAGCGGCGCACGGGUGCGUAACGCGUAUGCAACCUACCCUUUACAGGGGAAUAGCCCGUCGAAAGGCGGAUUAAUGCCCCAUGGCUCCUUCGAGAGGCAUCUCUUGGAGGGUAAAGAUUUAUCGGUAAAGGAUGGGCAUGCGUGCCAUUAGCUUGAUGGUGGGGUAACGGCCCACCAUGGCGACGAUGGCUAGGGGUUCUGAGAGGAAGGCCCCCCACACUGGGACUGAGACACGGCCCAGACUCCUACGGGAGGCAGCAGUGAGGAAUAUUGGUCAAUGGGCGGAAGCCUGAACCAGCCAAUGCCGCGUGCGGGAAGAAGGCGCUACGCGUCGUAAACCGCUUUUGUCCGGGGGUAACCGUAGGGACGUGUCCCUACCUGCAAGUACCGGACGAAUAAGGGUCGGCUAACUCCGUGCCAGCAGCUGC
This 505-nucleotide ribosomal RNA is filed under the name uncultured bacterium. Its description in RNAcentral is "bacterial SSU rRNA". It matches the Rfam family "Bacterial small subunit ribosomal RNA", at positions 15 to 518 of the family's 1533-position model. The record is from RNAcentral.